RNAcentral lists this ribosomal RNA (708 nucleotides) under uncultured Lachnospiraceae bacterium. RNAcentral's name for it is "bacterial SSU rRNA". It matches the Rfam family "Bacterial small subunit ribosomal RNA", at positions 28 to 735 of the family's 1533-position model. The record is from RNAcentral. Lineage: Bacteria; Bacillati; Bacillota; Clostridia; Lachnospirales; Lachnospiraceae.
GACGAACGCUGGCGGCGUGCUUAACACAUGCAAGUCGAACGAGAAUCACUGGAAGGAGUUUUCGGACAACGGAAGGUGAGGACAGUGGCGGACGGGUGAGUAACGCGUGAGGAACCUGCCUUUCAGAGGGGGACAACAGUUGGAAACGACUGCUAAUACCGCAUGACACAUAGAGAUCGCAUGGUUUUUAUGUCAAAGAUUUAUCGCUGAAAGAUGGCCUCGCGUCUGAUUAGCUAGUUGGUGAGGUAACGGCCCACCAAGGCGACGAUCAGUAGCCGGACUGAGAGGUUGACCGGCCACAUUGGGACUGAGAUACGGCCCAGACUCCUACGGGAGGCAGCAGUGGGGAAUAUUGGGCAAUGGGCGCAAGCCUGACCCAGCAACGCCGCGUGAAGGAAGAAGGCUUUCGGGUUGUAAACUUCUUUUGUCGGGGACGAGUAGAAGACGGUACCUGGCGAAUAAGCCACGGCUAACUACGUGCCAGCAGCCGCGGUAAUACGUAGGUGGCAAGCGUUGUCCGGAUUUACUGGGUGUAAAGGGCGUGUAGCCGGGAAGGCAAGUCAGAUGUGAAAUCCACGGGCUUAACUCGUGAACUGCAUUUGAAACUACUUUUCUUGAGUAUCGGAGAGGCAAUCGGAAUUCCUAGUGUAGCGGUGAAAUGCGUAGAUAUUAGGAGGAACACCAGUGGCGAAGGCGGAUUGCUGGACG